Molecule: ribosomal RNA, 500 nt
Filed under: uncultured bacterium
Lineage: Bacteria
Description: partial 16S ribosomal RNA
Rfam family: Bacterial small subunit ribosomal RNA
Source: RNAcentral
AAUCAACGCUGGCGGCGUGCCUAACACAUGCAAGUCGAACGCGAAAGCCCCGCAAGGGGUAAGUAGAGUGGCAAACGGGUGAGUAACACGUGGGUGACCUGCCUUCGAGUGGGGGAUAACGUCCCGAAAGGGACGCUAAUACCGCAUGACAUCCUGCUUUUGAAAAAGCGGAGAUCAAAGCUGGGGAUCGCAAGACCUAGCGCUUGAAGAGGGGCCCGCACCUGAUUAGCUAGUUGGUGAGGUAACGGCUCACCAAGGCGACGAUCAGUAUCCGGCCUGAGAGGGCGGACGGACACACUGGGACGGAGACACGGCCCAGACUCCUACGGGAGGCAGCAGGGGGGAAUUGUUCGCAAUGGGCGCAAGCCUGACGACGCAACGCCGCGUGGAGGACGAAGAUCUUCGGGUCGUAAACUCCGGUCGAGCGGGACGAACGCUUCGCGGAUGAAUAAUCCGCGGAAUUGACGGUACCGCUAAAGGAAGCCCCGGCUAACUCCGUG